Molecule: ribosomal RNA, 414 nt
Filed under: uncultured bacterium
Lineage: Bacteria
Description: bacterial SSU rRNA
Rfam family: Bacterial small subunit ribosomal RNA
Source: RNAcentral
AACGAACGCUGGCGGCGUGGAUAAGACAUGCAAGUCGAGCGGGAACUUUCGCUGUAGCAAUACAGUGAAAGUUCUAGCGGCGAACGGGUGCGUAACACGUGGACAAUCUGCCUUAAAGUGGGGGAUAGCUCGGCGAAAGCCGAAUUAAUACCGCAUGUGAUGAGAGACGACAUCGUCUUGAAUUCAAAGCCGGGGCAACCUGGCGCUUUUUGAGGAGCCCGCGGCCAUCAGCUAGUUGGCGGGGUAAUGGCCCACCAAGGCGACGACGGGUAGCUGGUCUGAGAGGAUGGCCAGCCACAUUGGGACUGAGAGACGGCCCAGACUCCUACGGGAGGCAGCAGUGGGGGAAUCUUGCGCAAAUGGUCUAACGACUGACGCAGCGGCGCCGCGUGUGGGAGGACGCCUUUCGGGUGU